GUGCGACCUCCGCCGAGUCCGGCGCGCCAGAGCGGCAGCCGGAGCCGGGGACCCACCGACCUUGGGGUGAAUCGACCCAACUCCCUUCCGGGGAAAGGGUCGUAGGGCAACCCUUCCGAACCACCCGCCCGAACCCGACAGCUAACUCGGUAGGCGGAACAUGGAAGGAGU
This 171-nucleotide small RNA is filed under the name Streptomyces cellostaticus. RNAcentral's name for it is "c-di-AMP sequence". It matches the Rfam family "c-di-AMP riboswitch aptamer (ydaO/yuaA leader)". From Rfam's summary of the family: This family represents a conserved RNA structure found upstream of the ydaO and yuaA genes in Bacillus subtilis and related genes in other bacteria. The ydaO/yuaA element is thought to act as a genetic "off" switch for the ydaO and yuaA genes in its native state. The record is from Rfam by way of RNAcentral. Lineage: Bacteria; Bacillati; Actinomycetota; Actinomycetes; Kitasatosporales; Streptomycetaceae.